AGUGAACGUUGGCGGCGUGGAUUAGGCAUGCAAGUCGAGCGAUCGUAGCAAUACGGGAGCGGCAAACGGGGUAGGAAUACAUCGGAACGUACCUUUUGGUUGAGAAUAGCGUUGGGAAACUGACGGUAAUACUCAAUAAAGUCGAGAGACCGAAGGUUUACUGCCGGAAGAGCGGCCGAUGCGAUAUUAGGUAGUUGGUGGGGUAAUGGCCUACCAAGCCUGAGAUGUCUAGGGGGUGUGAGAGCAUGGCCCCCACCACUGGGACUGAGAUACUGCCCAGACACCUACGGGUGGCUGCAGUCGAGGAUCUUCGUCAAUGGGCGAAAGCCUGAACGAGCGACGCCGCGUGCGGGAUGAAGGCCCUUGGGUUGUAAACCGCUGUCAGGGGGGAUGAAACCGUAAGGUUGACAGAGCCCCAGAGGAAGCACGGGCUAAGUUCGUG
This 442-nucleotide ribosomal RNA is filed under the name uncultured bacterium. Its description in RNAcentral is "bacterial SSU rRNA". It matches the Rfam family "Bacterial small subunit ribosomal RNA", at positions 29 to 507 of the family's 1533-position model. The record is from RNAcentral.